GUUGUAGCUCAGUGGCAGAGCACUUGCCUAGCACUUGUAAGACACUGGGUUCGAUCCUCAGAACCACA
This 68-nucleotide transfer RNA is filed under the name Marmota monax (woodchuck). RNAcentral describes it as "tRNA.Ala". The record is from RNAcentral. Lineage: Eukaryota; Metazoa; Chordata; Mammalia; Rodentia; Sciuridae.